GUCACGCCUCUGGCGCCCGGGCGUAGGCGGAGAGGAAGGUGGAGGCGCUUUGAAAAGUGAGAGCGGGAGGGCGGUGCGCCCUCGGGCUCUCCGCGGCAAGUAGCUCUCAAACUGGUGGCUGAGGGCUGAUUAGAGGGGCGUGUCCGCCCGGAAAUCAAAUUCCCGCGAGCGCUGUCAGUUGUGGCGACCGCGGUCUUCAGUCGAGAGGGACAGCUUUGACCUCACCUGCGCGUCUGUGGGAGUCCUGCCCCUUACUGACGUGGGGCGCUUGGCCCCGGAGGACCGGGUUCCUGGGACACGCGUCAUCGCCGAGCUCUAUUGCAGGGUCCUGACUCCUAGUGACAGCGCACCUCCCCCUUGGAGGCCAAGGCCCGGAUGGGCGGUGCGAGGGGCCUGCGCCCCGCCAAAGAGCCAGCUUUAUGUUAUGGAAGCUAAGUGAAAAUGGUACAUAUUAGAAGACCAAAAACAAGGAAAAGUUCUAAAACUAAAGUGCCUGAGCAAAAAUCGCGAGUUGAUUGGCGGCGGACCAAAAGAAGCAUCUCUCAAUUAUUUGAGAGUGAUGAUGAGCUUGAGUGUGACCAAAAACUUGAUAGUGAUGAAGAGAUGGACAGUGGUAAAAGUGAUGAUGAUGAUGAAGAAGAAGAAGAAGAACUAGAUAGCAAUAAGAAGCCUAAUAAUCAUGAGAUACCACAUAAGGAAGGAGACCUUGAAUUAAUCAAAGUUGAGAGCAAAGGAGGUACACAACUCACUAACACUUGCAAUAGUUUAACAUAUGAAGAAGAAAUGAUCAAAACUGAGCACAGUGACUUACUAGAUCAUGAGAAGCACCCAGGCCAGGAGGAGGAGGACCUCAACAAACACACUGGACCAAUCAUAGAAGAGGAUUUUGAAGAUGAACACAUCAAGCCAGGGACAAGAAAACGGCUAUCCUCUGUGAUGUAUGACAGUGAUGAGAGUGAUGGUAGUGAUAUCCUACUUAGAAAAGUAGGUGUGAAACGUCCACGCAGGGUGGUUGAAGAUGAGUGUUCUUCAGGUGAAACAGAGCAAGAAACCCCUGAGAAAGCAUUAGCUGCUCGAAAACGAGAAUACCACCAGAAGCUGAAAGAACUCUCAAAAAGAUCACGCCAGAGACGCAGUAGUGGUAGAGAUAUUGAGAACUCUGAAAAGGAAUCUUGCCCAAGCACUGGUGACGAGAGUGAGGAAGAAGAAGCAGAGGACUACAAAUAUGAUGAAUAUGGAGAUGAUUAUAUUCUUGAUGAUUUUGUAGUGCAAGAUGAGUAUGAUGAAGAAACUAAAAAUCAACGAGGUGAAAAUUUGACUAUGUCGCAACUGAAAUUAGUAAAGCAGAACUCUCUUUAUUCUUUCAGUGACCACUAUACGCACUUUGAAAGAGUUGUGAAGGCUCUUCUGAUCAAUGCUUUAGAUGAAUCUUUUCUGGGAACAUUGUAUGAUGGCACCAGGCAAAAAUCAUAUGCACAAGAUAUGUUGACAUCUCUUUAUUAUUUGGAUAAUCACUUUAUUCAACCCCGUCUAGAGAAUUUAGCUGCCAGAAGUCGAUGGAAAGAGCAGUAUAAGGAGCGGGUUGAAAAUUAUUUUACUUUAAGUAUCCAUCUUAAAAAUCCUGAAAACUGUUGCUGCCAGGCUUGUGGAUUGCAUCGCCACUGUAAAUUUCUAGUGCAUCUGUCAGGAGAGCUUUAUAACAGUAAGACCAUGGAAACAGAUGACUUCAUGUCACAUGACAAACAGGUUUUCAAUGUUGGCAGAAUUUGUGCUGAUCGUACCAGAAUUUAUCAUGACCUUAAACAUUUUAAAUUCAAACUAUAUCAAGAAUGUUGUUCCAUUGCAAAAAUAGAAGAAGUUGAAGAUGAACAGGUUAAAGAAACAGUGGAAAGAAUUAUUCAUAAGUUAAAAGAGGAUGGCUGGAUUAAAACGAUUUGGUAUUUCUCAAAACAUUACCCUUAAUGACCUAUGUCAGAAUUACUUAUAAUAGUUUGGAAAAUAUGGAAUCCCUGACCACCCCACACCAACUUAAUGAAGUCCUUGAAGUUGGAAACACACAAUAUUUUAAAAACUGAGUGGUUCUUGAGCAAAUUAAAGAUAGGAGAUACUUUUUGGUUUUUAAGCAAAUUAGAGGACCCUACUUCAAAUUUCUGUUGUACUGGAUCUGCCAUCAACCUCUGAAACUUCCUUGGCAGACCUCUGCCCUUCUAAGGAAUCUAAACUGCUCCUUCUGAGUAGAGGACUCCAAAGUCCAUCAUCACAAUACUGCCCAAUUUUAUCAGCAUGUCCAUCUGGAACUAUAAGAAAGAGUUCUUUGUUAUAAAAGUAAGACACAAACUCCCAAAAUAUACUGUGAAGAGCUACGGGAGCUGCAUCUUUAGGUGGAAAAGAUAGUGAGGAAUAAAAUAUGGCCAACUUCAAGACUAUCUCAACAGUGCGGACUACUUUCAAGAUGAGAAGUUUGAAUGAUUAGGCAUUUCCUUCAGAGAUUGCUUUAAAUGUCAAUGUCAGUGUGAAGAGCAUGAGCCUUAUUUCUCUGUAUCAUGUUACAUAUUUAUUAUAUACUUUAAUUGUGCCUUGAUGGUAAAAUAUCUUCUUUAUAAAUUCAUCUAAAUUCUUAUGAUAUGCCAGUCUAUCAAUGUACAUGAAUCAGCCUUAUAAUUUUAAAGUCUACAAAUGUAUUUUGAAGUUAUACAACAAUACCUUUAUGACAGAUGACUAUGAAGUAAAUGAGUUAUUAUAUAUUAUCUGGUUAAUGGAAGUAUAUUGUUUUUAAAAUAUAUGUAGACUGAUGUCUCUAUGUAUUCAUUGCUGUAUCCAUGUCCAGAUGCUUGUGUCUCUUGGCAGUAUUUAAUAAUCUUCACCAACAAAUGUGUGGCUACUAUGUUCUCAAUAAGUGAGCUAAGGAAGAAACUUGAGUUCCUUCUCCUCCCCUCAGAAUCAGAACAUAGCUUAUUACUCCAAAUGGAGGAGUGCUUUCUUACUCUUCUAAGGUUUCUUUUGCAAAUAGAUGUCAGAUCCCCAGAUUCUUUCAGUUUCACAUUCAAGAAAAAAAUGCAUAUGUGUUUUCAUUCUUUAUAUUGUUCUGUAUUGUUUCUAUCUGAUUUUGUCUAGAUGUGAAUGGCUGAGAUUUAUUUUAUUAUUUUUAUUUAUAAUGUUCUUCAUGUAAAUAUAUGCACAAUAGUCUGAACAUCCCAAGAGACUAUUUCAGCCAAGAACAUUUAAAAAGCAUGUUUUUGUCUGUUUUGCUUUUCCACAUUUAACUUUUUUAAUACUAUAAUAAACAGUUACAGAAUGAACAAUUGGAA
This is an RNA transcript of Jaculus jaculus (lesser Egyptian jerboa), 3308 nucleotides long. It is a transcript of the gene named coiled-coil domain containing 82, with no coding region annotated. The transcript is spliced from 9 exons. Lineage: Eukaryota; Metazoa; Chordata; Mammalia; Rodentia; Dipodidae. The record is from RefSeq and is a predicted model, not a curated record.